CCUGGAAGAAAGGAGAGAAAGAGGCUCGCCGGGUCCCAGAAGCCCGAGUGGUGGGUCGGUCCACGCUGCUCAUGUCGCGGUGGCCAAGGCUCCUCCUCCUCUAAGUGCCUCCAAAUGGGGCAACUGAGGCUCAGAGCACUUAAAGCAACUUCCCACAACGAGGAGGUGAUGGACCCAGGACUCAAACGGAGCUGAGGAUGAACUUGGUGAAGCCUGGACACCGGGGCCUCGUGGGAGCUGUGUGCAAGGAGGCCGUGGAGGAGCCCAUAGGGAAGCGAGAAGGACGUCCUCUCUGAUCCCAGCAGCUCCUGAAGGGCCUGGGAGCCUACUGCCUGCCUACAUUCGGCUCCUCCCCCUCCAUCCUAUCCCCAAAAGAUCAGCUGCUCUGCCCAGGCCCGGAGAAGGAGGGCUGGAGGACAGGGAAGGAGGAGAAAGAACAGGAGAAGGGAGAGCGAACCUGCCAUCCCCAGGCCGUGCAUGCUCACCGUUUGAGGGAUUGAUCGCUCCAACUGUCUAACCUGCUCUAAGGGGCACCUCCUGUAUGACAGACCCGGGGCCGGGAGCGGAGGACAGGAAAACGAACCAGCCGCCACACUCGUGCCCGAGGCGCCGCCGUGAAGUGCGAAGAUCAGACAGGAAACAAACAUGGACACCGCAAUCUGACAAUUGCCACUUGGCCGUGGGUGCACAGAACUCUGGAAGCCAACGAACUUGCCAGGAGAGUGGCUCCCAGAGCAGUGGUCAACUGAGUGGGGUGGGAAAGCAGUGUAGUGGGAAAAGGACAUUCCUGGCAGAGGAGGGUAUUGCUCAAGCAAAGGCCCAGAGGCACGAAAGAACAUGGUGUGUUUGGGGAACAGAGCACAGCUUGGUGGAGUCACAGUGGAAUAAAAAGGGUGGAGCCAGAGCUGAUGAGACAGACAGGAGAAGGAGACUGAGGUUCACCUGGGCAGGGCCCUCUGCAACUUCCUCUGCCAAGGCACUGAAUAAAUUGUAGUAAAAAAUAACAAAAGCCAAUCUAUUAUCAAACAGUUACAAUAUGCCCAGCCCUGGGCUAAACCUGUCACAGGCAUUAGCUCACUGAACCCUCCAACAAUCCCAUGAGAUGAGUUCUAUUAACAUUCCCACUGACAGAUGGGGAAACUAAGGCCCAGGGAGAUUGGGCAAAAUUGCCAGAGGUCACACAGCUGGUAGUGAACUGGCUGGGAUUUGAACCCAGGCUCCCAACUCUCACCCAUCAGCGUGUGCUGCCUCCAAGGAGUUUGGACUUCACCUUGAGUGCAGCCGGGAGCCAUGAGGGAUUGGGGAGGGGGAAAUGGCACA
Long non-coding RNA from Choloepus didactylus (southern two-toed sloth), 1320 nucleotides. RefSeq lists it as uncharacterized. The record is from RefSeq and is a predicted model, not a curated record. The transcript is spliced from 4 exons. NCBI's taxonomy places the organism in Eukaryota, Metazoa, Chordata, Mammalia, Pilosa, Megalonychidae.